UACGUAGGGGCCAAGCGUUGUCCGGAAUCAUUGGGCGUAAAGGGCGUGCAGGCGGUUUGGUAAGUCAGGUGUUAAAUCUACAGGCUCAACCUGUAGCCGCAUCUGAUACUACCGAACUGGAGAGUGGUAGAGGAAAGCGGAACCUCCGGUGUAGCGGUGAAAUGCGUAGAUAUCGGAAGGAACACCAGUGGCGAAGGCGGCUUUCUGGGCCAUUUCUGACGCUGAGACGCGAAAGCCAGGGGAGCAAACGGG
RNAcentral lists this ribosomal RNA (252 nucleotides) under uncultured bacterium. RNAcentral describes it as "partial 16S ribosomal RNA". It matches the Rfam family "Bacterial small subunit ribosomal RNA", at positions 524 to 776 of the family's 1533-position model. The record is from RNAcentral.